This 1058-nucleotide ribosomal RNA is filed under the name Limosilactobacillus reuteri. RNAcentral describes it as "bacterial SSU rRNA". It matches the Rfam family "Bacterial small subunit ribosomal RNA", at positions 1 to 1013 of the family's 1533-position model. Lineage: Bacteria; Bacillati; Bacillota; Bacilli; Lactobacillales; Lactobacillaceae. The record is from RNAcentral.
UUUAUAUGAGAGUUUGAUCCUGGCUCAGGAUGAACGCCGGCGGUGUGCCUAAUACAUGCAAGUCGUACGCACUGGCCCAACUGAUUGAUGGUGCUUGCACCUGAUUGACGAUGGAUCACCAGUGAGUGGCGGACGGGUGAGUAACACGUAGGUAACCUGCCCCGGAGCGGGGGAUAACAUUUGGAAACAGAUGCUAAUACCGCAUAACAAUAAAAGCCGCAUGGCUUUUAUUUGAAAGAUGGCUUUGGCUAUCACUCUGGGAUGGACCUGCGGUGCAUUAGCUAGUUGGUAAGGUAACGGCUUACCAAGGCGAUGAUGCAUAGCCGAGUUGAGAGACUGAUCGGCCACAAUGGAACUGAGACACGGUCCAUACUCCUACGGGAGGCAGCAGUAGGGAAUCUUCCACAAUGGGCGCAAGCCUGAUGGAGCAACACCGCGUGAGUGAAGAAGGGUUUCGGCUCGUAAAGCUCUGUUGUUGGAGAAGAACGUGCGUGAGAGUAACUGUUCAUGCAGUGACGGUAUCCAACCAGAAAGUCACGGCUAACUACGUGCCAGCAGCCGCGGUAAUACGUAGGUGGCAAGCGUUAUCCGGAUUUAUUGGGCGUAAAGCGAGCGCAGGCGGUUGCUUAGGUCUGAUGUGAAAGCCUUCGGCUUAACCGAAGAAGUGCAUCGGAAACCGGGCGACUUGAGUGCAGAAGAGGACAGUGGAACUCCAUGUGUAGCGGUGGAAUGCGUAGAUAUAUGGAAGAACACCAGUGGCGAAGGCGGCUGUCUGGUCUGCAACUGACGCUGAGGCUCGAAAGCAUGGGUAGCGAACAGGAUUAGAUACCCUGGUAGUCCAUGCCGUAAACGAUGAGUGCUAGGUGUUGGAGGGUUUCCGCCCUUCAGUGCCGGAGCUAACGCAUUAAGCACUCCGCCUGGGGAGUACGACCGCAAGGUUGAAACUCAAAGGAAUUGACGGGGGCCCGCACAAGCGGUGGAGCAUGUGGUUUAAUUCGAAGCUACGCGAAGAACCUUACCAGGUCUUGACAUCUUGCGCUAACCUUAGAGAUAAGGCG